This 202-nucleotide long non-coding RNA is filed under the name Solanum tuberosum (potato). RNAcentral's name for it is "long non-coding RNA (STUB_LNC000090)". Lineage: Eukaryota; Viridiplantae; Streptophyta; Magnoliopsida; Solanales; Solanaceae. The record is from RNAcentral.
UCGCUUACCAAUCUCAUCUUUUUACCAUCAACCCAUGACGUUUUACUUCACACUCUAAAUCAAAACUCUGAGGGAAACCCUUCCUUAGAUCCUUUAACAAUUAAAAGUAACAAACUUUAUGGUCCAAAACAUGCAUAAGUUCUUUCACAUGCUCAAUACCGAUGCAAUCAAUCAUUUCUAUCUUACCAAUCCAUAUCUUGAC